UCGUCGCUCGAGAGUUUGAUCAUGGCUCAGAUUGAACGCUGGCGGCAUGCCUUACACAUGCAAGUCGAACGGCAGCGCGGGGCAACCUGGCGGCGAGUGGCGAGCGGGUGAGUAAUAUAUCGGAACGUACCCUGGAGUGGGGGAUAACGUAGCGAAAGUUACGCUAAUACCGCAUACGAUCUAAGGAUGAAAGUGGGGGAUCGCAAGACCUCGUGCUCCUGGAGCGGCCGAUAUCUGAUUAGCUAGUUGGUAGGGUAAAAGCCUACCAAGGCAUCGAUCAGUAGCUGGUCUGAGAGGACGACCAGCCACACUGGGACUGAGACACGGCCCAGACUCCUACGGGAGGCAGCAGUGGGGAAUUUUGGACAAUGGGCGCAAGCCUGAUCCAGCAAUGCCGCGUGAGUGAAGAAGGCCUUCGGGUUGUAAAGCUCUUUUGUCAGGGAAGAAACGGGUGAGGUUAAUACCUUUGCCUAAUGACGGUACCUGAAGAAUAAGCACCGGCUAACUACGUGCCAGCAGCCGCGGUAAU
RNAcentral lists this ribosomal RNA (529 nucleotides) under uncultured Janthinobacterium sp. RNAcentral's name for it is "bacterial SSU rRNA". It matches the Rfam family "Bacterial small subunit ribosomal RNA", at positions 1 to 524 of the family's 1533-position model. The record is from RNAcentral. Lineage: Bacteria; Pseudomonadati; Pseudomonadota; Betaproteobacteria; Burkholderiales; Oxalobacteraceae.